AGGGUCUGACUAGUUCAAAUGCAGCGGUUGCGGUUGCGGGAGUUUGUGGAUGCGGGCUGUUGCGGUUUUUAGCGGUUUUAAGAGAUUUGUACGACUGGUACUGCGGUUGAAAAUUAGUGCGUUUGCGGGUGACUUAUGACUGACUAACUACCAAAUACGGUAACAAUCAAAUAAUAAAUUAACAAUAUUUUCAUUUAAUAUAAUUAUAAAAAUAUCAAAAAUCAUAAUAUUAUAAUAAAUAUAAAAUUUAGAUUUAGAAAGUUAUAAUUUUAAUUUUUUAAAAAUUUAUUGAAAUUUUUUUUACUAUACAAUUUUAUAAUAUUAAUUAAAACAUAAUAGAUAUAUUUUAAUAUUUUCAUAAUAUCAAUUUUUAAAUUUUUAUUAAAUAUUUUUACUUUUGUAUAUAUAUUGUUUUUGAGAAAAAGAAAAAAAAUUUACCCUUCCGCAACCGUCCGCAACCGCAAAUGCUAGCUGGAGCCAGCUUUUGAAUUUAUGAGAUUCAGAGCGGUUUAGAGCGAUUUGAGUGAUUGUUGCAAACUGUCGACAACUGCUACCAACCGUAAAAGCUGCGUUUGUGAGUGGUAGCGGGAAAACCAGUUGCCCUCUAAAUCAUUUGCUUUUGAUGGGAUCUACUGAUUAUUUAAUUAUUUUUUCUCUAAAAACUUUUUUUUAAGGAUUCUCAUUGCAAUGCUCUUACAUGCGUAGUAAUAUUCAGCCCAUCUCGACACUGACCAUAGUGUCAGCCUGUCAGCAUGUGCGCCACUUAAAAUACAUCUUAACAUUUCUUAUUUUAUUAGAGAAUUUGUUGUGGGCGAUCAAUUAUGGCCGGCAAUUACAACUUUUACAUAUGAUAUGUAGUGCUAAAGAAAUAUAUUUCUUUUUUAAAAACAAAAUGUACUAUAUUAUCAAAUUCCAUUGUAUCGAGAAAGAGAAUAAAAAUUAUUUAUAAUACUAUUUUUUUCGUUUCUUCUUUAUUUGCAUACUUAAAAAAUAAAAAUCGAUAAGUGUGACUGGAUCACAGAGGCGGAGGCAGCUGUGUGAGAGGGGGUCACUUCACCCCCUAUAUAUUUUUGUUGAAAAUAAAUUUACUUGCAUUUUGGAAAAAAGAAUCCGGUAAAAUGUUGUACAAUUAGUAUUCUAACCCCAUAAUAUUUCCUCAAAUAUGACUUGAUCCCAUCAAUACUAUUAAAACAGAAGGUCAUUUUUUGAGGUAUCAUUUUGUUUCAACAAUAUUUACAGAACCAUGCCACUACUUUAUUUAAAACCUAUACUUUUAAUUAUAUAGAAAUAUUCAACUAAAUAUCUUUUAAUCUAAAAAUUAAUUUUUAUUUAAUUUUCUUUCCUUUACUUUCAGCGUAGUGAAUAUAGUUGGAGGAAUUAGAUUUAUUUUCAGUUUUUGGAUUCGAUGAAGGAGCUUUGUUGAUUCCCAAAACUUUAAAAAAAUUCUCAUGAGUUCUUCCAUUCUUUUUUUUUCUUCCAUUGUUCUACCAAUUAGUUAAAAAAUAGUCUCUUUUCUCUCUUAGCAACAAGAUUGAGAAAUAGGGAGACUUUACUCUUCACCUUCUUCUCUUUUCUCUCUGUGACUUUUUUUAGCUGAUUCAUCUUUCUUUUUCUCGCUGAUUAAGCUCUCAAGUCUCAGACAUAUAAGAGUUUAAGAGCAAUUCUAUCUGAGUCAAUCACCGGCAGAUGAACUCGUGUUGCCUAGCAUAUCAAAAGGAGCUUUUGAAAGAAACAAUGCCCAAACAUAAGGCUGUAUUGAUCUGGUAUUUUAUUUCCUCAGAAGAGUGUUCGUCUCUGAUUGAUGGAGUUGAUGUGUUUGUAAAUUUCAAGGUGAGAAGUUGGUGCUGGAAAGAAACAUCACUUCCUCUGCAUUGUUUCCUUCUCAAAACAGUUAACUGUUUCAAGUAAUGCACCAACAAAAGGAAAAUUAGCUCCAGUGAUUCUGCCGAGAUUUAUGCAAUACUUAGGCAUAUUUUGUAUAUAUAUGUCGAAUAAUUCUCAUCAUUAAUAUUUUUAAAUCGAUGAUUCUAUACAGCUAUUGUAAUAUUUAUUGUUAAAAAAAUAUAUUAAGAGAUCUUAAGAGA
Molecule: long non-coding RNA, 2084 nt
Organism: Brassica napus (rape)
Lineage: Eukaryota; Viridiplantae; Streptophyta; Magnoliopsida; Brassicales; Brassicaceae
Exons: 4
Source: RefSeq, a predicted model, not a curated record